GAUGAACGCUAGCGGCAGGCUUAAUACAUGCAAGUCAAGGGGCUCGCAAGAGCACCGGCGGACGGGUGCGUAACGCGUACAGAACGUGCCUUUGGGCGGGGGAUAGCAUUGGGAAACUGGUGGUAAUACCCCAUGGUAUUCUGGGUUGGCAUCGACCUGGGAUUAAAGUUUCGGCGCCCAAAGAUCGCUGUGCGUCCGAUUAGCUAGUUGGCGGGGUAACGGCCCACCAAGGCGACGAUCGGUAGGGGGGUGUGAGAGCAUGACCCCCCACACGGGUACUGAGACACGGACCCGACUCCUACGGGAGGCAGCAGUAAGGAAUAUUGGACAAUAGGCGGAAGCCUGAUCCAGCAAUGCCGCGUGAGUGAUGAAGGCCUUAGGGUUGUAAAGCUCUUUUACCAGGGAUGAUAAUGACAGUACCUGGAGAAUAAGCUCCGGCUAACUCCGUG
RNAcentral lists this ribosomal RNA (449 nucleotides) under uncultured bacterium. RNAcentral's name for it is "bacterial SSU rRNA". It matches the Rfam family "Bacterial small subunit ribosomal RNA", at positions 28 to 507 of the family's 1533-position model. The record is from RNAcentral.